This 394-nucleotide unclassified non-coding RNA is filed under the name soil metagenome. RNAcentral describes it as "partial contains 5.8S ribosomal RNA, internal transcribed spacer 2, and large subunit ribosomal RNA". The stretch from base 1 to 120 matches the Rfam family "5.8S ribosomal RNA", at positions 35 to 154 of the family's 154-position model. The record is from RNAcentral.
GAUGAAGAACGUAGCGAAAUGCGAUAAGUAAUGUGAAUUGCAGAAUUCAGUGAAUCAUCGAAUCUUUGAACGCACCUUGCGCCUUUUGGUAUUCCGAAAGGCACACCUGUUUGAGCGUCAUGAAUACCUCAAUCUCCAUCUUUUCUUCGGAUUGAUGGGUGACUUGGAUGUUGAGCCCUGCUGGUAUGCUAUAUCAGCUGGCUUUAAACUUAUUAGCCGGCUCUGUACUGGAUCGGUUUGACUCGACGUGAUAAUAUUAUCGUUGAGGAUGCAUGUCUCAUGCAGCAGGAAAGUAUCAAAGCAGCUUCUAGCUUGCCUUUAGUGCACUUUUACAUUUUAGACCUCAGAUCAGGUGGGACUACCCGCUGAACUUAAGCAUAUCAAUAAGCGGAGG